GUGGGGAAUAUUGGACAAUGGGCGAAAGCCUGAUCCAGCCAUGCCGCGUGUGUGAAGAAGGUCUUCGGGUUGUAAAGCACUUUAAGCGAGGAGGAAAGGUUGAAGGUUAAUACCCUUUAGCUGUGACGUUACUCGCAGAAUAAGCACCGGCAAACUUCGUGCCAGCAGCCGCGGUAAUACGAAGGGUGCAAGCGUUAAUCGGAAUUACUGGGCGUAAAGCGCGCGUAGGUGGUUAAGUAAGCGAACUGUGAAAGCCCCGGGCUCAACCUGGGAAUUGCAGGUCGAACUGCUUGGCUAGAGUAUGGUAGAGGGGUGUGGAAUUCCAGGUGUAGCGGUGAAAUGCGUAGAUAUCUGGAGGAACAUCAGUGGCGAAGGCGACACCCUGGACCGAUACUGACACUGAGGUGCGAAAGCGUGGGUAGCGAACAGGAUUAGAUACCCUGGUAGUCC
RNAcentral lists this ribosomal RNA (450 nucleotides) under uncultured bacterium. RNAcentral describes it as "partial 16S ribosomal RNA". It matches the Rfam family "Bacterial small subunit ribosomal RNA", at positions 354 to 796 of the family's 1533-position model. The record is from RNAcentral.